UAGUAGGGGAUGAAUGUUAAUACUAACAUAGUUUAGUUAGCAUGCGCUUGUAACAUGCAAGUAUUAUCUUAUGUAUUUAUUCUUUAUUAGUUGGGAUUUAUGUUUAAUAUAACUUCGUGAAGUUCUUCAUAAAUUUGAAAAUCUUGAUAGUGUCGAUAAAAAUUUAAUUUGCUUUAUUGUUUUUGAUUAUCAUUAAUAAAAUAUAAAAAAAUUUUUGGUUAAGAAUAGUAUUAGUGAAUCAAAAAGUUUCUGUACAUGUUAACAGAAUAAUAUUACAGAUGCCAUACAUUUUGGUACGUGGUAAUCUUGCAUCAUAUGGUCAUCGAUAUCCAUGGAGAGUUUUAGUAUCAGGUCUUAAAGCAUCCGAUAUAGAACAACUGAGUCGUUUUGCUUCUGGAGGAUAUAGUGAUGAUUCGACAAUAGUGUAUUUACAACAUCCUUGUGUAAUAUUAACUGCUUUAGAAGUUCUUGGUUACAAAGUCGUAGCAUCUUCAAGUACUAGUGUUAAACAAGAUUAUAAUGAGUAUAUGUGGACUAUGAGAAAAGAUUUUUCUGAACCUGAACCCGAACCUGUUAUUAAGACAGGUAAAUCACUCAGGUAUUAAAUCUGUACCUAUAUUAAACAUGGAGCAUAAUCAUAGUUAUAAUGAUCAUAAUAAAUGCUGCAAUGUAAGUACUAAUGUCAGUGUUUGUCAAUCUUUAAUGGAAAUGGAGUUUGAACGUGGUAUAUGGUAUGCUGCACAAUAUAAUGAUUUGGAUCGUGUAAAGACAUUAUUGAAGAAAGGUGUUUCUCCUAAUAUAGAAGAUUCAGCUGGAUAUACAGCAUUACAUUAUGCAGCUAGAAACGGACAUUAUAAAAUUUGUAAUAUGUUAUUAGAAAAUGAUGCAGCCGUGAAUGCACAAACACGCUGUGGUCGAGCCACUGCUUUACAUAGAGCAGCUAUGCAAGGUCACUGUAACAUUGUCGAACUUUUGUUAAAAUAUGAUGCAAAUCCUAAUUUAAAAGAUGCUGAUAAUUAUACUCCUUUACAUAAAGCACUUAUAGCACGCUCAACA
RNA transcript from Apis dorsata (giant honeybee), 1056 nucleotides. It is a transcript of the gene named ankyrin repeat domain-containing protein 39-like, with no coding region annotated. NCBI's taxonomy places the organism in Eukaryota, Metazoa, Arthropoda, Insecta, Hymenoptera, Apidae. The record is from RefSeq and is a predicted model, not a curated record. The transcript is spliced from 5 exons.